AUUGAACGCUGGCGGCAUGCCUUACACAUGCAAGUCGAACGGCAGCACGGGUGAUUGCACCUGGUGGCGAGUGGCGAACGGGUGAGUAAUACAUCGGAACAUGUCCUGUAGUGGGGGAUAGCCCGGCGAAAGCCGGAUUAAUACCGCAUACGAUCUACGGAUGAAAGCGGGGGACCUUCGGGCCUCGCGCUAUAGGGUUGGCCGAUGGCUGAUUAGCUAGUUGGUGGGGUAAAGGCCUACCAAGGCGACGAUCAGUAGCUGGUCUGAGAGGACGACCAGCCACACUGGAACUGAGACACGGCCCAGACUCCUACGGGAGGCAGCAGUGGGGAAUUUUGGACAAUGGGCGAAAGCCUGAUCCAGCAAUGCCGCGUGUGUGAAGAAGGCCUUCGGGUUGUAAAGCACUUUUGUCCGGAAAGAAAUCCUUGGCCCUAAUACGGUCGGGGGAUGACGGUACCGGAAGAAUAAGCACCGGCUAACUACGUG
This 486-nucleotide ribosomal RNA is filed under the name uncultured bacterium. RNAcentral's name for it is "partial 16S ribosomal RNA". It matches the Rfam family "Bacterial small subunit ribosomal RNA", at positions 30 to 507 of the family's 1533-position model. The record is from RNAcentral.